UCUCGAUGGUAGUGUAUUGGACUACCAUGGCAAUCACGGGUAACGGGGAAUUAGGGUUCGAUUCCGGAGAGGGAGCCUGAGAAGCGGCUACCACAUCUAAGGAAGGCAGCAGGCGCGUAAAUUACCCAAUCCUGAUUCAGGGAGGUAGUGACAAGAAAUAACAACUCGGGGGCUCACGCCUUACGAGAUUGCAAUGAGGACAAUCUAAUAGACAUUAUCGAGGAACAAUUGGAGGGCAAGUCUGGUGCCAGCAGCCGCGGUAAUUCCAGCUCCAAUAGCGUAUAUUAAAGUUGUUGCAGUUAAAAAGCUCGUAGUUGAACUUCUGGCGGGCCCCAUCCUGGCUUCGGUCGGGUUAGGGCCUGUCAUCCGUCAGAGAACCUGGGUCGUCCUUCACUGGUCGCUUAGGGGAUCUGGCACUUUACUUUGAAAAAAUUAGAGUGUUCAAGGCAGGCCAUUGCCCUGAAUAUACAAGCAUGGAAUAAUGGAAUAGGACUAAUGUCCAUUUUGUUGGUUAUUGGACUUUAGUAAUAAUUAAUAGGGACAGUUGGGGGCAUUAGUAUUUAAUUGUCAGAGGUGAAAUUCUUGGAUUUAUUAAAGACUAACUUAUGCGAAAGCAUUUGCCAAGGAUGUUUUCAUUAAUCAAGAACGAAAGUUAGGGGAUCAAAGACGAUCAGAUACCGUC
This 682-nucleotide ribosomal RNA is filed under the name uncultured ciliate. RNAcentral describes it as "bacterial SSU rRNA". It matches the Rfam family "Eukaryotic small subunit ribosomal RNA", at positions 320 to 1019 of the family's 1831-position model. The record is from RNAcentral. Lineage: Eukaryota; Ciliophora.